This 550-nucleotide ribosomal RNA is filed under the name Wickerhamomyces sp. RNAcentral describes it as "eukaryotic LSU rRNA". It matches the Rfam family "Eukaryotic large subunit ribosomal RNA", at positions 91 to 655 of the family's 3401-position model. The record is from RNAcentral. Lineage: Eukaryota; Fungi; Ascomycota; Saccharomycetes; Phaffomycetales; Wickerhamomycetaceae.
GAGUGAGCGGCAAAAGCUCAAAUUUGAAAUCUAGCACCUUCGGUGUUCGAGUUGUAAUUUGAAGAUGGUAACCUUGGGUUUGGCUCUUGUCUAUGUUCCUUGGAACAGGACGUCAUAGAGGGUGAGAAUCCCGUCUGAUGAGAUGCCCAUUCCUAUGUAAGGUGCUAUCGAAGAGUCGAGUUGUUUGGGAAUGCAGCUCUAAGUGGGUGGUAAAUUCCAUCUAAAGCUAAAUAUUGGCGAGAGACCGAUAGCGAACAAGUACAGUGAUGGAAAGAUGAAAAGAACUUUGAAAAGAGAGUGAAAAAGUACGUGAAAUUGUUGAAAGGGAAGGGCAUUAGAUCAGACUUGGUGUUUUACGAUUAUCUUCUCUUCUUGAGUUGUGCACUCGUAUUUCACUGGGCCAGCAUCGAUUCGGAUGGCAAGAUAAUGGCAGUUGAAUGUGGCUUCACUUCGGUGGAGUGUUAUAGCUUCUGCUGAUAUUGCCUGUCUGGAUCGAGGGCUGCGUCUUUUGACUAGGAUGCUGGCGUAAUGAUCUAAUGCCGCCCGUCUU